UGCCAAGAGAUGAGUUCUCCCAAUCUAAGAGAUUGUAAGGGUUGUUGUAGACUACGACGUAGAUAGGUCUGGUGUGUAAGUGUAGUGAUGCAUUGAGCUAACAGAUACUAAUUGCCCGAGAGGCUUAACUAUACAACGCUCAAG
RNAcentral lists this ribosomal RNA (144 nucleotides) under Haemophilus influenzae. Its description in RNAcentral is "partial 23S ribosomal RNA". It matches the Rfam family "Bacterial large subunit ribosomal RNA", at positions 2795 to 2925 of the family's 2925-position model. Lineage: Bacteria; Pseudomonadati; Pseudomonadota; Gammaproteobacteria; Pasteurellales; Pasteurellaceae. The record is from RNAcentral.